RNAcentral lists this ribosomal RNA (468 nucleotides) under uncultured bacterium. RNAcentral's name for it is "partial 16S ribosomal RNA". It matches the Rfam family "Bacterial small subunit ribosomal RNA", at positions 28 to 507 of the family's 1533-position model. The record is from RNAcentral.
GACGAACGCUGGCGGCGUGCUUAACACAUGCAAGUCGAACGAAAAGGCCCUGCUUUUGUGGGGUGCUCGAGUGGCGAACGGGUGAGUAACACGUGAGUAACCUGCCCUUGACUUUGGGAUAACUUCAGGAAACUGGGGCUAAUACCGGAUAGGAGCUCCUGCUGCAUGGUGGGGGUUGGAAAGUUUCGGCGGUUGGGGAUGGACUCGCGGCUUAUCAGCUUGUUGGUGGGGUAGUGGCUUACCAAGGCUUUGACGGGUAGCCGGCCUGAGAGGGUGACCGGCCACAUUGGGACUGAGAUACGGCCCAGACUCCUACGGGAGGCAGCAGUGGGGAAUAUUGCACAAUGGGCGGAAGCCUGAUGCAGCAACGCCGCGUGCGGGAUGACGGCCUUCGGGUUGUAAACCGCUUUCGCCUGUGACGAAGCGUGAGUGACGGUAAUGGGUAAAGAAGCACCGGCUAACUACGUG